AUGCAUCAACACCUUGGCUCUAGACUGCUUACUGGUAGAAGUGUGUCAAAGUACAGUAACAGUCUACAGUCAUGGCUACUGAUGCCUG
This 88-nucleotide microRNA precursor is filed under the name Scleropages formosus (Asian bonytongue). RNAcentral's name for it is "mir-132 microRNA precursor family". It matches the Rfam family "mir-132 microRNA precursor family". Lineage: Eukaryota; Metazoa; Chordata; Actinopteri; Osteoglossiformes; Osteoglossidae. The record is from Rfam by way of RNAcentral.